CAGUAGCCGCGGUAAUACGUAGGUGGCAAGCGUUGUCCGGAAUUAUUGGGCGUAAAGGGCUCGCAGGCGGUUUCUUAAGUCUGAUGUGAAAGCCCCCGGCUCAACCGGGGAGGGUCAUUGGAAACUGGGAAACUUGAGUGCAGAAGAGGAGAGUGGAAUUCCACGUGUAGCGGUGAAAUGCGUAGAGAUGUGGAGGAACACCAGUGGCGAAGGCGACUCCCUGGUCUGUAACUGACGCUGAGGAGCGAAAGCGCGGGGAGCGAACAGGAUUAGAUACCCCCGUAGUCCCUGUCUCUUAUAA
RNAcentral lists this ribosomal RNA (301 nucleotides) under uncultured bacterium. RNAcentral's name for it is "partial 16S ribosomal RNA". It matches the Rfam family "Bacterial small subunit ribosomal RNA", at positions 509 to 809 of the family's 1533-position model. The record is from RNAcentral.